CUACGGGAUGCUGCAGUGAGGAAUAUUGCACAAUGGGGGGAACCCUGAUGCAGCAACGCCGCGUGGAGGAUGACGCAUUUCGGUGUGUAAACUCCUUUUAUAUGUCAAGAAAAUGACGGUAGCAUAUGAAUAAGCACCGGCUAACUCCGUGCCAGCAGCCGCGGUAAUACGGAGGGUGCAAGCGUUACUCGGAAUCACUGGGCGUAAAGGACGCGUAGGCGGGUUGGAAAGUCAGGUGUGAAAUACUACAGCUUAACUGUAGAACUGCACUUGAAACUUCUAAUCUAGAGUAUGGGAGGGGGAGAUGGAAUUAGUGGUGUGGGGGUAAAAUCCGUAGAUAUCACUAGGAAUACCUAAAGCGAAGGCGAUCUCCUGGAACAUUACUGACGCUAAGGCGUGAAAGCGUGGGGAGCAAACAGGAUUAGAUACCCCGGUAGUC
This 439-nucleotide ribosomal RNA is filed under the name uncultured bacterium. RNAcentral describes it as "partial 16S ribosomal RNA". It matches the Rfam family "Bacterial small subunit ribosomal RNA", at positions 339 to 795 of the family's 1533-position model. The record is from RNAcentral.